RNAcentral lists this ribosomal RNA (546 nucleotides) under Hanseniaspora uvarum. Its description in RNAcentral is "eukaryotic LSU rRNA". The stretch from base 131 to 284 matches the Rfam family "5.8S ribosomal RNA". The record is from RNAcentral. Lineage: Eukaryota; Fungi; Ascomycota; Saccharomycetes; Saccharomycodales; Saccharomycodaceae.
ACUUUAAUUUAAUUCUUUCUGCUUUGAAUCGAAAGGUUCAAGGCAAACCAAACAAACACAAACAAUUUUAUUUUAUUAUAAUUUUUUAAACUAAACCAAAAUUCCUAACGGAAAUUUUAAAAUAAUUUAAAACUUUCAACAACGGAUCUCUUGGUUCUCGCAUCGAUGAAGAACGUAGCGAAUUGCGAUAAGUAAUGUGAAUUGCAGAUACUCGUGAAUCAUUGAAUUUUUGAACGCACAUUGCGCCCUUGAGCAUUCUCAAGGGCAUGCCUGUUUGAGCGUCAUUUCCUUCUCAAAAGAUAAUUUUUUAUUUUUUGGUUGUGGGCGAUACUCAGGGUUAGCUUGAAAUUGGAGACUGUUUCAGUCUUUUUUAAUUCAACACUUAGCUUCUUUGGAGACGCUGUUCUCGCUGUUGAUGUAUUURUGGAUUUAUUCGUUUUACUUUACAAAGGGAAAUGGUAAUGUACCUUAGCCAAAGGAUUGCUGAUAAUAUUCAUCGAGUUUGACCCCAAUCAGGUAGGAUACCGCUGAACUUAAGCAUAUCAA